RNAcentral lists this transfer-messenger RNA (373 nucleotides) under Buchnera aphidicola (Aphis nasturtii). It matches the Rfam family "transfer-messenger RNA". Rfam says of the family: Bacterial tmRNA, also known as 10Sa RNA or SsrA, is named for its dual tRNA and mRNA-like properties. Lineage: Bacteria; Pseudomonadati; Pseudomonadota; Gammaproteobacteria; Enterobacterales; Erwiniaceae. The record is from RNAcentral.
GGGGCUGUUUUGGAUUCGACAAAAUUAUCAAACAAAUAAAGUGCAUGCCGAGGAACGGUUUGCCUCGUAAAAAGCCGUAAAAAAAUAGCUACAAAUAAUAAACAAAACUACGCAUUAGCAGCUUAAAAAACUGUUUUAUGCCCUUUAUUCUCAAUAUUAUCUCUUUUAUAGCGAGAAAUUAUUAAAGGUCACUAAUUAAAGAGAAAACGUGAAAAUAAAGCUUAAUAAUAACACGAAAAAAAUAUUUUUAAGAUAUAUUCCUAAAAUGCGUUUUUCUAAAUUAGGAAAAGAACUGCACAUUAAGAAAAACUAAGCAUGUAAUAUCUUUAUUUAUAGAAAUUUUGGACGCGGGUUCAAAUCCCGCCAGCUCCAA